GAAUUAGGGUUGUUUAGUGUAGGGGAGAGAAAGAUGGAAUUUUAGAAUUGGGGGGUUUUGAGAAGGGAAAGUCCGAAAUUAAAAUCAAAAGGGAAAAACUUACCUGAAGCGCGGUAGGUGCGCGGUCGCACACUUGAGGCAGUACACUUGUGAAAAUGCGCGACCAGGUGUGCGGUCACCCCAUAAUAUGUGCGGCCGCACACGUCCCACUUCGUAUAACAUUGGCGACCAAAUGCGUGAGGUUCCCCCCAGGUGACUCAACCAGGUAUCCUCAACUAAUUUUGAUGCUCAGGGAUUACUGAGCAAAUUCUCCAGCAAUAUACGGUUUUAGUUUGUGCCCAUUCACUUUGAAACUUUCCGUUCCGUCUUGGUUCUGGAUCUCAAUUGCCCCAUAUGGUGAUACAUGUUUCACCACAUACGGUCCGGUCCAUCUAGACCUAAAUUUUCUGGGGAAUAGUCUGAGUUUACUAUUGUACAGUAAGACUUUGUCCCCUUCAUGAAACUCAUUUGGCUUAAUGAGACGAUCAUGCCUCCUUUUAGUCUUUUCUUGAAAAUCCGUGCAUUUUCAUACGCGUCCAGUCUAAACUCCCGUGUUCUUGGAAAAACGGUUAGUGCUUCUCUUAAGGAUUGUUCGGCAAAGUUGGAAGAAGCUCUAUGGGUGCACAAAACUGCGUUCAAAACAACUAUAGGGACUUCACCAUUCAAACUAGUGUAUGGAAAAUCAUAUCACCUACCCGUUGAGAUAGAACAUAAAGCUUAUUAGGCAAUGAAGAUGCUUAAUCUUGAUCUUAGUCUUGUAGGUGAACACAGGUUGGCGCAGAUGAAUGCAUUGGAGUUUAGACUGGACGCGUAUGAAAAUGCAAUUGUUCUUAAUGGUCUGGAUGACUCCCUGUUUGAGUUCAAAAUUGUUGGCAAUGAUUGGUAGAGUCCUCAAACUAGACUGUUGUUGGUAGUACACCGGUUUAGAAUAUCUCCUAGCGAUCUCCCAGGCCUCAGAACUACAUUUUAAAAUUCAUCCUCGAUCAUGUUUUGGUUGGGAUUGAACCUUCGACCCCCAUCAUCCGUUUAAUCUACAAUUCUACCGUCUGCUUCAGCUGCUAAUCGUGCUUCCUGUUGCUGAGCUACCUCUUUCGUAUCUAGGUCCACAACUUCUUUGUUGUUCACCAUUGUAUUUUGAGUUGAAGGCUGACCUAACAACAAUCCACUCGAUCAUUUCUCUCUUCUCAACUGCCUCAAGUGCUUGUCUAACUCUGGGUCGUAUGGCACCAAAUCCUUUGAAGAGGAUCGAGUCAUAUACCACUGAACUUAACAUGUUUCCUGCACACAGAUGAGAAGAGCGUAAAAAAAUAAAAAUAAAAUAAAGUUGUUCCUGAAUUAGCACUGAAAAUUAAUUUAAACACUAUUAAUCGCCUAUUCCCGGCAACGACGCCAAAAUUUGAUGAGCGCAAAACCGGUGUAUAAAACUUAGGCUCGCUAGUCAAAGAUAGUAUUGUAUUAAAUCGUCUCCAUAAGGAUUAGUUUAAAUAAUGUUAUAAUAAAUCUUCAACUCAAUACUAUCCAGGAUAAUAAACCUUUGAUUGAUGUUAUUAUCGUACAAAUAAAACUAAGAUUAUCAAUUGUAAGAAACUAAUGACACUUUAAUGACUAGUAGCAAUGAUUUAAUAUCAGGGUGAGAAGUAAGGGUUGUGACAAGAUAUGUGAUCAACUAAUGUUCCGGGUAACUCUGGGUUAAGUUCAUUCUUAACUUCUAUUGACUCCUUCGAUUUCAGCAGAUGAUUAGGCUACUUUAGGGAUUCAAAUUCUUAUUCUGAAUGAAUGAGAUUCCUUUGAUCAACCUAAUAACAGGUCAUAUGAACAUAUGCACAAAAUAGUGAAUGAAUGAUCUUUCGACGAACAUCUCUCGAUUAUUCUUCUAAACUGAGUCAAUUGAUAACUCUCUAAACUCUUUCGAUCACCUAGAAGAGGCGUAAAAUCAACCCAAACAAUAUGGAACAAUGCGAAUAUCAGUAAAACCUCUCCUUCGAUUAAAGUAAACCCACAAUAAGCCUUGCUAUUUAAUUAAUAACCCAUUUAAUGAAUUCGGGCAGUUAACAUAGAGUAAAACCCAAAACGAUAGUCAAAUCACAACAUCCGUAAAUAACCCUACGAAAGAUUACUCCAUAAUGGAGAAAGUAUUCAUCGCAAGAGUAUUAGAAGACCAAGAAGACAUUACAAUUUCCAAAUUCAAACAAACUUCUGUAUUGAAUGAAUUUGAUCAAGUAUUUUGCGUUUUCGUUGCUUCCUUCCUUCUUCUCUCCCAAAAGUUGUUCUAAAAAUCUAAGAUACCCUCUUUUUAGACAAGCUGGGCUUCAUAUAGGUCAAGAUGAGUCGCCUCUAAAAUUACAAAAUAGGCUUGGAAAUGUUUUCCGGACUGGACAUGCGCGACCUCGCACUUGGGCAGGUGAUCGUGCAUAUGGCCGCACACUUUGGACAGUGUUCUGCUCCACUAGUGCGCCCAGUGCGCGGUCGCGCACCUAGGUGGCUUCCUGCUAUUUAAUUCCAGUUUCUCUUCGUUAAGUGGAUUAUUGUCCGUUGAUCCUCGAUUACGAUCCCGACGUAAUCCAUGGGCUUUUACUCAUACUUCAAAGAUCCAAAAUAGCUCGAAUUCGCUCCACAACAUCAUCGUAACUCGAAAUUGCUCCUACAAAGCAUAAAACACACACUCAGUGCAAAAUAAUACCAUUUAAAGCUCAAACACUAGUAAAGUACAGCAAAUUAGAGUGCAAUUGAUGGCCAAAAUACAUAAUUAUAGCCUACCAUCAGGCAACCAAAACUUCUAAGGAAAGUAUAAUGAGGAGGUUUGUAAAAAAGAACCUCAUAAAGGGGUUUUGUAUUGAAGAAUCUUGGUAGGGAACCUGUUUAUUAGGAAGGUAGAAGUCAACAAGCACUCACCCAAUAGCAAAUACGGACUUUGGACUGAAAUAUUAGGGCUCUACAUGUUUCCAAGAGGUAUUUGUGCUUCCUUUCUACAAUACCAUCUUGUUGAAGGGUGGCAACACAUGAGGUCUGGUGAAUGAUGCCUUUAGAAAUAAAGUAAACAGUAGUAGAAUUACUGCCCAGUUCAAGGGCAUUGUCUGACCUAAUCUUUUUAAUUUUGGUGUUAAAACUGUGUUUCAACCAUAGAAAUAAAAGACUGCAAAACAGUAAAGGCAUUGCUUUUAGUAAUAAACAUGUAGGUCCAAGUACCCCUACCAUAGUCAUCUACUAUAGUGAGGAAGUACUUAAAGCCAUCAUGAGUAUUGCUUUAUAUGUUCCCCAUGUAUCUAUAUGAAUCAAUUCAAAAAUAUGUGAGGUGAAACUGGUACUAAUGGGAAAAGGCAAUUUGUGUUGUCUAGCCAAAGGACAUAUAGUACAAGGAAAAUCAUUCAUACUAGAGUUGUGCUGCAUACAACCAGGAAUAUACUUCAUUCUUGAUUGAGGCAAAUGCCCCAAUCUAAUGUUCCAUAAAUCGCUGCAAGAAUAAGUACAAUUAGACAUAGAAAUAAUGGAAUUAGACACUGAAUGUAAAGUAUGAGACUUAGCAGACACUUUAUUAGAAAAAAAUUGAGAAUCUAAAGUUUUCUGAGCUAUUUGUAGGGAAUCAGAGGAAGCAACAGGAUGAUGAGUAGAAUGAAGAAGAUACAGUCCAGCCUGGAUUUCACCAAGAACCAGAGGCCUCCUUAAGGAAAGGCCCUGCAAGAAACAAGAAGAAUCACUGAAGUAUUUUUAGCAUUUUGUGGAUACCCAUGGAGCUUAAAACAUCUCUCAAUAGUAUGACCUAGCUUCUGGAAAUAGUUACAAAAAAGAUUCUUUCAUUGUUCCUAGUUAUUUUUGUAAGGGACAGCCCCAUUCCCUCUAUUAGGAUUAGGUUUCUGCCUGCCUUGACCAAAAUAUUGCCCAGGCACAACAAAUGAACUAGAAUCACUAGGAUAUUGAGCUAUAAUUUGUAUACUCCUCUGUCGUUCUUCUUGUAAUAGUAAGUAAUAUGCUCUGUCAAUGGUUGGGGAAGGUUGCAUCAUCAUGAUGUUUCCUCUAAUUCCAAUGUAUGUCUCGUUUAAUCCCAUCAGAAACUAAACUAAUUUUUGUCUUUCUUCAAUUUCAUGAUUCUUCUCAAUUGUACUACACUUACAGUC
Nicotiana tabacum (common tobacco) is the source of this 4151-nucleotide non-coding RNA. Lineage: Eukaryota; Viridiplantae; Streptophyta; Magnoliopsida; Solanales; Solanaceae. The record is from RefSeq and is a predicted model, not a curated record.